RNAcentral lists this long non-coding RNA (5740 nucleotides) under Gossypium barbadense (sea-island cotton). Its description in RNAcentral is "long non-coding RNA (GBAR_LNC000368)". The record is from RNAcentral. Lineage: Eukaryota; Viridiplantae; Streptophyta; Magnoliopsida; Malvales; Malvaceae.
UUUAACAUAAUGAGAUAUGUAAAAUAUAUAUUUUUAUUAUAAAAUUACAUAUUUAUUAGCUUUAUUUUAUGAAUAAAAGAGUUUUUAAUUAAAAAGAUGAAUUGGUCAAAAUUUUUGUCAACUUGCCGCCGCUUAGGUCAAGAGUGCUCUCUUGGGUCUCCUGAAGAAACAGUAUUUUCUGGGGUCGGGAAGAAGAGAAGUGGUGGCUUUCGGGGCUAUGGACGACGGGAAGGAGUUGAGGAAUGACUUGGGGGCUAAGGAUGACGGGAAUGAGAUAGCCCUUCUUGAAGAAGAGUUGAUCCAUUUAUCGGUGAAAAGCUCUAUUGUAGAUCCUUUUGAAAAGCCAACACUGAUUUGUUCUGUUUGGACGAGAAAAAAUUACAAUCUGGACAGCCUGAGAGCACAAGUGAGAAGUAUCUGGAAAACCAAAAAGAAGUUUGAGAUUAUGAUUGCAGGCCAAAAUCUAUUCAAGAUAGUAUUCGAAGAUGAGGAAGACUUAGAGCAGAUUAUGAAUGGGCGACCAUGGUUCUUUCGAAAGCAAUUAAUUAUUUUUGAUCGUUUAACAAAAUUAGUAGAGCGAAACAAGAUCUGAUUGGUUUCUUCACUGUUUUGGCUAAAGAUCGGCCCAUGCCCAUCUGAGUGUGAUAAAAAGGAUCUGAUGCAUGCUGUGGGGUCCACGUUUGGGGGAAUUAUUCAUUCUAAGAUCAAAGGUGAUUUUUGUCGUAUUAGAGUUCAUCUAGAUGUUUAAAAACCACUUAGAAAAGGGAUUUUUGUCUCUCUAAACGACCAAGAUAAAGCCUGGCUUCUUUUCAAAUAUGAGUGUCUCCUAACGUUUUGCUUUGGGUAUAGUCACAUGGGUUACGGGAUUAAAGAUUGUCUAAUGUUAUCAGAGGGGGAUCGCAGCAAGGCGGAGGAUGAACUUCCUUUCUCGGUAGCACUUAAGGCAGAAUUGUCAGAUUAGGCAGGGAGAGCUUACUGUUUGGUUCUUUGCAGAAGAAAAUAAUGAAAAAAUGUUACUACAUCGGUUAGGAGGUAGCGGGUAAAGUUGAUAGUGUUUCAAUAGAUUCUGUACAACAGAUGCAUCGGAUGGUGAAAGAAGUUGGUUUAGAGAAGUCCUUUGAUCUUAGGGAAAUAGGGAUUUUGCGGCAAAAAUUUAGGGAUAAUGAAACAAAUUUUUAUCCUCAUAAUAUGCCGAGAGAAGUGGAAGAAAACUCCAGUAGGGAUCACUGUCGUGAGGGAAAUAGGUCAAAUUAAAUUUCUGAAUCAAACAGGCAAAUCGAACUGAUUGAGGCCUAACAAUUGAGUCAAAAGAAAUAUAGCUGGAGGCGCUUUUCUAGUAAAGAAUCUUUUGAUGCAAACAUGGCUGGGAUGAUAAUGGGGAAGCGAAAAUUUAAUCACGAGAAAUUGGAUGAUAUUGAAGCAUACCUUUCGGAUGAUGUUAAAACAAAAAGGGCAAAUUUUGACAGCAUAUGUUCGGCAGAUUUUGCAACAACUGAGCCUUCAUGCUUUGUUUUAACAGAUGUUAGUGACCCUUCACAAAUUAUAUCGACGGCUACCAAAUGGCAAGCCGACUGAAAACAAUGAAACUCUUAUGCUGAAAUGUCCGGGGAUUGGGGAAUCCCCGGGCUAUCAAGAGGCUUCACCACAUGUUAAAGCUUUACAAACCCCAAAUGGUCUUCUUAAUGGAGACAAAGCUGGAUCAAAACAGAAUGGAACGUGUUCGAAAGCGCUGUGGGUUUUAUAAUGGGCUGGAUGUUUCAGCUUUUAGUUCAAGGGGAGGUCUAAGCUUGGCUUGGAAUGGGAAUUUUUUAAUUCAAGUUCGUAGUUACUCAACUAAUCAUAUUGACGCUGAGGUUUAUGAAGAUGAUGACUCAAUUAAAUAUAGAUUUACCGGGUUUUAUGGGAACCUACGACAAGCAAAUAGACAAGAAUCUUGGAAUCUCUUUAGAAGAUUACGAAGCACCUAUACUUUGCCGUGGUGUGUAGGAGGUGAUUUUAACGAAAUAAUGUACACUCAUGAGAAAAAAGGGGGAGCAACAAGAGAUUGACGAUAAAUAGAGGAAUUUAGGCAAGCUCUGACAGACUGUGAAUUGGUUGAUAUGGGUUUCAAAGGGAAAAAAGUUGGGAAAGGGAAAUUUUGAGAGCACAAAUGUUAGAGAAAGACUUGAUAGGAGUGUGGCGAAUAGUGAAUGGUUAAACUUGUUUCACGAUUUCUCUGUUACCCAUCUUCCUCACUCUUAUUCUGACCAUUGUCCACUUUUUAUACAAACAGAGCUUAAUGAAUAUCCAGCUGGAAAGAAGAGGUUUAAAUUCGAAUCUUGGUGGAUACUGGAACCGUCUUGUGAAGAUGCCAUCAAGAAAUUGUGGACUAAAAAGUCAGGAGAUGCGCUGGAAAAAUUAGAUUAUCUUCGAGUUAAUCUUCAAAGAUGGGGGAAGACUAUCAAAGGAGAGCGUGAUAAAAGAUCGAAGGCUUUACGGAAAAGAUUGGCUAAAUUAGAAGGUAUGAAUAGGAAUGAUGAUAAUUUAGCUGAGAUGAUAACUGUAAAAUUGGAAUUAAAUUGGGAGAUGGAAAAUGAGGAAUUGUAUUGGGAACAAAGGGCUAGAGCAAAUUGGUUGCGUCAAUGGGAUAAAAAUACGGCUUUUUUCCACAGCAAAACAUCUCAAAGACAUAGGAUAAACAAGAUUUGGGGACUGGAAAACAUGGAAGGAGAUUUAAAAAUAGAGGAUACGAAUAUGGAAAGCAUCAUAAGGGAUUAUUUCAUGGGAUUAUUCCAAUCAAGUGGAGUUGGUGAUACAAACCGUCUUCUUUCGGGGGUUAAAAGGUGUAUUGGAGCGGACAUGAAUCAACUACUAAUAGAGAAAUACAAAGAGGAAGAAGUUGUCGAGGCAAUCAACAGUAUCGGGCCAACAAAAGCCUCCAGACCUGACGGUUUCCCAGUAAUUUUCUUUCAAAAAUAUUGGCACAUAGUGGGGAGGGAAGUCAGCAAUUUCUGCUUGGAAGUACUUAAUAAAGGUAAAUCUUUACAACUGCUGAAUCAUACGAAUAUAGUGUUACUUCCAAAAACGUCUCACCCAAGAAAUCCCACCAAUUUUAGACAUAUUAGUCUAUGCUCGGUGUUCUAUAAAAUCAUAUCAAAAUCUAUCGCAAACAGACUUCAAAAAGUUACGGAUCAUUGUAUCGAUUCUGCUCAAAGUGCGUUCGUUCCGAGAAGACUAAUUUCUGACAACGUACUUCUCGCCUACGAAAUUCUUCACAUUAUGAGAAAUAAAAGGGUGGGGAAAAAAGAUCUUAUGGCACUUAAGAUUGAUAUGAGUAAAGCAUAUGAUAGGGUGGAAUGGAAGUUUUUGGAAAAAAAUGAUGAUCACAAUGGCUUUUGAUGUGCGAUGGGUGGAGUGCAUAAUGCAUUGUAUUAGCACAGUGUCGUAUUCGGUGGUUUUAAAUGGCAUGCCAGGGAUGGUUUUUACUCCAAGAAGAGGCCUAAGGCAAGGGGACCCUUUAAGUCCCUUUCUAUUCCUUUUAUGCAGUGAAGGGCUGUCAACACUUUUAAGGCUUGCAACAGAGGAAGGAGUAUUGAAAGGGAUUAAGGCAAGUAGAAGGGGACCUCAAAUUUCCUAUCUCUUUUUUGCUGAUGACUGUGUUUUAUUUGGAGAAGUGACCGGCAAGGGUAUUGCAACGUUUGAAAAGGUGCUCAAGGAAUACGAAAUUUGUUCUGGAAAAUGUAUUAAUUAUAGUAAGUCAACUGUGUUUUUUAGCUCAAAUACCAUUGAAAAUGUUCGAUCUACCAUAUCGAAUCGUCUAGGACUGAAAAGGGCAAACAAUUCUGAGAAAUACCUAAGCCUACCGAAUAUGGUGGGAAGGAAGGAGCGUUUGGUAUUCCAACAUUUAAAGGAUAGCCUAAAGUUAAAGAUAGACAAUUGGAGUACAAGAUUAUUAUCGCAAGGCGGAAAAGAAGUGUUCAUCAAAGCCGUUUUACAAGCAAUCCCCACGUACACAAUGGCAUGUUUUCUUUUGCCGAAAUCAUUAUGUGAAGAAAUGGAACAAAUCAUCGCAAAAUUUUGGUGGCAAAAAGGUUAUGGGAAACGAGGUAUUCACUGGUGUUUAUGGAGCAAAUUAUGCGAGUUAAAAAAGAGUGGCGGUCUCGGAUUCCGCAAUUUGGCAAAAUUUAAUUUGGCCCUUCUCGCAAAACAAGGCUGGAAAUUAAUUGACGAUUCUAAUUCCCUUUUGGCUAGAACGUUAAAAGUUAAAUAUUAUCCGAAUACUGAUUUUUUAAAUUCAGGUUUAGGUAAUUUACCUUCCUAUACCUGGAAAAGCAUAUGGGCAGCAAAGGGCCUCUUACUAUCGGGAUUGUGCUGGAGGGUGGGGAAUGGCCAUGACAUUCGUAUAGAAGAAGAUGUUUAGGUCCCAAAUGUGCCAGGUCUACUGAUUAACAAAAAGGACAGAAUGCAGAACAUCAUAAUGGUUGCGGAUCUUAUUGACAGUAAUAUCAGAGCAUGGAAAACAGAGUUGAUUUGGAGUACCUUUUCGGAAGUUGAUGUUCCAAAGAUUCUGCAAAUCCCUUUGGCCCAGCGUUCACAAAAUGAUCUUUUGAUAUGGAGGGGUGAAGCAUCGGGUAAAUAUACUGUGCGUAGUGGUUACAAACUACUAUUACAAGGCAAUGAUUACAAUAGUAAUGGUUACAGUUUGCCUGAAAUUACAAAAUGUUACAAGAAACUGUGGAACUGUAAUCUCCCCUCAAAGGUACGUAUUACAGUUUGGAGAGCCACUCUCAACUACCUCCCUACCCUAGUGAAUUUAAGAAUCAAAAGAUUAACGAAUAACGCCAUCUGCCCGAGAUGUAAGCAAGGGCUGGAAACUAGGGAACAUAUUUUUCGCGACUGUGCUGCUGCGAAGGAAAUGUGGAAAAAAUUAAAUUAUGUAUGGUCACUCAAGUUAUCGCAUAUGGACUAUAUGGAGUGGUUUACCUGGGUAUUGUUGCACAGUAAAGAGAAAGAAUGCUACAUCUUUGUCUGUGCCAUUUGGGCUAUCUGGUCGAAUAAGAAUCAAUGGGUACACGGAGGACAUAAGAGAACUAGAACAGAAAUAGCGCAGUUUGUAAUACAGUAUUUACAGGAAUUACAAGAUAUGGAAAGAAAACACCAUGCCAAAUACUCAGUUUUAGAUUCAUGGAAGGCGCCGGAAAGCAGGUUCCUCAAAAUCAAUUUCGAUGCUCCUUUUGAUAAGGGGAAAAAUAUAUCUUGUUCAAGGGUAAUAGUCAAGAACUUUAAAGGUGAUGUAUUGGUUUCAAAAUCGGUCAUCCAUGACAAGAUUUCUUCAAGAUUUGCAGCAGAAGCCUUAGCAUGUUUGCAGGCGGUUAUGGUGGGAAAAGAAUUGGGGAUAAAAUAUGUUAUUUUCGAAGGCGACUCUCUGACAGUUAUAAAAAAAUGAACAAAAAAAAAGAUAAAUCGGUAAUCGGCCCUUAUAUUGAUGAUAUUCAAGAGCAGAAGGCGAAUUUUUAUGGAUGCAAAUUCCAGCAUGCAAAAAGAGCGGCAAAUAGAGCAGCACAUAACCUAGCAUCUGAAGGGUGAAAAUGGGGGUGAAUGCAUACUUUGUUCAUGAGCUUGUUACUCAAGUUCUCACCGAUUCAGAAAUUGAUAGGGGAUGGAGAUGAAGGCCAUCACUGAGUCAACACCAUCUCCAGCAAAUGAGAGAGUAGGAGAAAAAAUUUUAGAUCUCUAUGACUGUUUGUUUCUCCAAGAGUUA